GUCAAAUAAAACCUGCGCGACUGACAUAAAGAUCAUAAAAUAUUUCCAUACACCAAAUAUAGUUGACAUAUGGCAUAUUGUAUUAGAUAAAAAGACCAAAACUCAAAAACUUAACUUUGACCACUGAACCAUGAAAAUGAGGUCACAUGACAUCUGCCAGCUAGACAUGUACACCUUACAAUCAUUCCAUACAACAAAUAUAGUAGACCUAUUGCAUAUAGUAUGAGAAAAACAGACCAAAACACAAAAAUUUAACUAUAACCACUGAACCAUGAAAAUGAGGUCAAGGUCAGAUGACACCUGCCAGUUGGACAUGUACACCUUACAGUCCUUCCAUACAC
This 341-nucleotide long non-coding RNA is filed under the name Mytilus galloprovincialis (Mediterranean mussel). Lineage: Eukaryota; Metazoa; Mollusca; Bivalvia; Mytilida; Mytilidae. The record is from RNAcentral.